RNAcentral lists this transfer RNA (36 nucleotides) under Navarretia leptalea. RNAcentral's name for it is "partial tRNA-Phe". Lineage: Eukaryota; Viridiplantae; Streptophyta; Magnoliopsida; Ericales; Polemoniaceae. RNAcentral also lists the same sequence under 21 other names. The record is from RNAcentral.
GUAACCGUCGGGAUAGCUCAGCUGGUAGAGCAGAGG